GCACUGUGCAAACAGACAGUAAGAGACAGUCCCUGCCCUCAAAGAACUUACAAUCUAAAUAGACAAGACUGACAAAGAAUGAGAGGGGAAACGGGGGGGAAGUAGUAAAGUAACUUGCCCAAGGUCACAGCAGUUCUGUGGCAAAGUCACAGGUCUCCAGAUUCCCAGACCAGUACUCUACCCACUGGACACAACCACCUCUCUCUUUGGCUCUUGGUGUCCUAUAUAAAGUUUUUUUUUAAACAAAAAACUUAAAAUCUCUAAUUGUCAAAAUUUUCCCCUCCAUUCUUGUAAAUGGAGAGAGGUCUUCCCAUGGAUUCCAGCUGGAGGAAAGCGUAAGUGGGAAGUGCUGGCUCUUCACCCUGUUUUCCCUUGCCCCUCCACCACCCCCUCUGGGAGUUUUCCCUCCAUAGACAGAGAGAGGGGGCUGCCAGUAGAGUUGUGUGAAUAAGUUUUGUUUUGUUUUUUUUUUUCCCCCAGAUCACUGACAGUUACAGG
Long non-coding RNA from Chelonia mydas (Green sea turtle), 498 nucleotides. RefSeq lists it as uncharacterized. The transcript is spliced from 3 exons. NCBI's taxonomy places the organism in Eukaryota, Metazoa, Chordata, Testudines, Cheloniidae. The record is from RefSeq and is a predicted model, not a curated record.